Long non-coding RNA from Drosophila busckii, 768 nucleotides. RefSeq lists it as uncharacterized. The transcript is spliced from 3 exons. The record is from RefSeq and is a predicted model, not a curated record. Lineage: Eukaryota; Metazoa; Arthropoda; Insecta; Diptera; Drosophilidae.
AUCAUGCUUUGUUUUUUAUCAGCACUCAAGGUCACCAUACAGCAACAACAUAUUGAAUUUCUAGCAGACGCGCGAUAAGCCCCGAAAUAUUGAGCACAAGCCCAGGCCAGCGUUGAAGCUUUUGAAAUACUAUUAACACAAUGGUUUUCAAUUAUUCAUGAAUACAUUUUAUGCUGUCCACAGUGGGUUAAUUACUCGAAAACGCCUCACGCAAUUGCAAUAUGCAAGAGAAUGCUGCUGCUCAAUUGGCUGGCAAGGUUCAACAAACUGUUUCAGUGCAAAUACUUAUAAAUAAAUAUGCGGCGCUCUCCAACUGCAUGAUCGAGAAAGAGAGAGACAGAGAGAGAGAACUACUGCUCUCCCCACCCACUGACUCCACCAGUUUACCCACUGUAGUGCAGCAGACAAGCCUUCCAUAGAUUAAAACACACACACACACACACAUUUACUUUCCAGCAUAGGCCAGGCCAGUUCACUGCCAGACUAAAGAAUCACUGGAACAAUCUGCUUAGCUGCCUGAGCCCGCAAUAAUAUGCAGCCGCAGCGCCUUAUCUGGAACUUACCUGGAUAUUCGAAGCGUCAAACACUACCCUCAUUUUGAUCGUUGUCAGCAUACCGGACAAACUGCAGCGAAUCCGCGCUCAGUUGCAAAGUUGGAAAUUAAACAAAACACAAGUCCGCGGCAUUUGUUUUUUAGUUAUAACUUGGCCAAUAAUCACCCGUUAGUGCAACUUUUUACUCGUAUUGAUGCUAGAAACAAACUUACAU